CACGAGCUCACAUCUUUUAAUUGUACGAGAAGAAAGUUCGUUAGUGUUAGCUUGUUAAAUCGAAAUAUAGGAAUGCUUUAAAAGCUUAAAUUGAUAUGGACAGCUGCGAAUAGGCAGAAUAAAGAAAAACUAUGAGCUGGCGUUCAUUUCUAGAACAUUUCAGCGCCUGUGGGAGAUGUUGGUGCUCGUCGUUUUUCAGGGGGACAGGAGAGUCAAGGGUUGGAUGUCUGCCAAAAGAGGCCGGCCCUCCCGUGCAGCUGAAACUUUUACAAGCCAAGCAGGAAGAGAUGCAGGGAGAGAUCGAAGAAGAAAAAGAGCACAAGAAAAAAGAAAAAAAAAAAACAGGAGAGUCAUCUGAACUUAUCAGUUUGGCAACUCUUUUCUCUCCCUGCCUCUUUCGUCUUUCUGUCCGUCUGUCUCGCUUUUGUUAUUCUUUGUUAAAGCCCUACUGUAUGUGCCCGCCUUUGUUGGCAGGGGGUAAGUGUAGUGCCUGAGGGCAGCACAGGAUGGGAGGGGAGGGGAACUUUGAGUUCAGAGAGUUCAGCUGAGGAGAGAAAUAAAUUCAUAAACAACAAAGGAGACGUGACGUCAGGUUGAGGGGCCGUCCAACCUGCUGGCUGAAUCUUCGCCUCCAUAGAAGAACCAGAUUGUGUGCACCGUGUGUGCCUGUACAGUAUGAAUGUGUGUUUGUGUCCAUUGUCCUUCCUUCAAGAAAAGACCUAUGAGGAGUUUUAGCAAAGAAGUUGGACUGCGCUAGUCUGUUUUGUCUCUGUGAGUUUGAAUAUUUGGAGAACCCU
Molecule: long non-coding RNA, 797 nt
Organism: Thalassophryne amazonica
Lineage: Eukaryota; Metazoa; Chordata; Actinopteri; Batrachoidiformes; Batrachoididae
Exons: 2
Source: RefSeq, a predicted model, not a curated record